Molecule: ribosomal RNA, 433 nt
Filed under: uncultured bacterium
Lineage: Bacteria
Description: partial 16S ribosomal RNA
Rfam family: Bacterial small subunit ribosomal RNA
Source: RNAcentral
AAUGAACGCUGGCGGCAUGCCUAACACAUGCAAGUCGAACGAGACCUCCGGGUCUAGUGGCGCACGGGUGCGCAAAGCGGGGGAACCUGCCCUUAGGUUUGGAAUAACUCCCCGAAAGGGGUGCUAAAACCGGAUAAUGUCUUCGGACCAAAGGUUUAUCGCCUUUGGAUGGGCCCGCGUUGGAUUAGCUAGUUGGUAGGGUAAAAGCCUACCAAGGCGACGAUCCAUAGCUGGUCUGUGAGGAUGAUCCGCCACACUGGGGCUGAGACACGGCCCAGACUCCUACGGGAGGCAGCAGUGGGGGAUAUUGGACAGUGGGCGGAGGCCUGAUCCAGCAAUGCCGCGUGAGUGAUGAAGGCCUUAGGGUUGUAAAGCUCUUUUACCCGGGAUGAUAAUGACGGUACCGGGAGAAUAAGCUCCGGCUAACUCCGUG